This 253-nucleotide ribosomal RNA is filed under the name uncultured bacterium. RNAcentral's name for it is "partial 16S ribosomal RNA". It matches the Rfam family "Bacterial small subunit ribosomal RNA", at positions 524 to 776 of the family's 1533-position model. The record is from RNAcentral.
UACAGAGGGUGCAAGCGUUGUCCGGAAUCACUGGGCGUAAAGGGCGCGUAGGUGGCCUGAUAAGUAGGGGGUGAAAUCUCGUGGCUCAACUGCGAGGCUGCCUCCUAAACUGUCAGGCUUGAGCAGAGUAGAGGCAGGUGGAAUUCCCGGUGUAGCGGUGGAAUGCGUAGAGAUCGGGAAGAACAUCGGUGGCGAAGGCGGCCUGCUGGGCUCUUGCUGACACUGAGGCGCGACAGCGUGGGGAGCAAACAGG